This is a long non-coding RNA of Gracilinanus agilis (Agile Gracile Mouse Opossum), 283 nucleotides long. RefSeq lists it as uncharacterized. The transcript has 2 exons. Lineage: Eukaryota; Metazoa; Chordata; Mammalia; Didelphimorphia; Didelphidae. The record is from RefSeq and is a predicted model, not a curated record.
GGUACAGUAUUUCCUACAUACCAUUUGCAAGGGAUGCUGUGAAGAAAUGUUUUACAGCGUGCCUGGCCUAACAGGCAAAAAAGGCACUUUUGAAAAGUCUUGGCAAGUACAAAAGACCGAUUUCUGACCUGAUUUUGUAAAUAUUUUCUUAAUUCUGUCUUUACAGACUUGUGCCUUUUUUUUCCCUCCACAUCUUGUUGUGGGGUGUCGCUUGUUAAAAAAAAAAAAAAAAAAAAAAAGGAUGGUUGUUUUUGUUAAGCAAUGAGAUGUUCUCAAACCAAAA